Molecule: small nuclear RNA, 168 nt
Organism: Pipistrellus kuhlii (Kuhl's pipistrelle)
Lineage: Eukaryota; Metazoa; Chordata; Mammalia; Chiroptera; Vespertilionidae
Product: U1 spliceosomal RNA
Exons: 1
Source: RefSeq, a predicted model, not a curated record
UAAUAUACCUGGCAAGGGAGAUACCAUGAUCAUGAAAGGUGGUCUUCCCAGGGCGAGGCUUAUCCAUUGCACUCCAGAUGUGCUGACCCCUGUGAUUUCUCCAAAUGUGGGAAACCCAACUGCAUGAUUGUGACAGUGGGGGCAAGGGGAGAGAGUUGCUAACACCAU